RNAcentral lists this ribosomal RNA (435 nucleotides) under uncultured bacterium. RNAcentral's name for it is "partial 16S ribosomal RNA". It matches the Rfam family "Bacterial small subunit ribosomal RNA", at positions 29 to 507 of the family's 1533-position model. The record is from RNAcentral.
AGCGAACGCUGGCGGCAGGCUUAACACAUGCAAGUCGAGCGGGCAUCUUCGGAUGUCAGCGGCAGACGGGUGGGUAACACGGGGGAACGUACCCUUCGGUUCGGAACAACUCUGGGAAACUGGAGCUAAUACCGGAGACGCCCUUAUGGGGAAAGGUUUACUGCCGAAGGAUCGGCCCGCGUCUGAUUAGCUAGUUGGUGGGGUAACGGCCUACCAAGGCGACGAUCAGUAGCUGGUCUGAGAGGAUGAUCAGCCACACUGGGACUGAGACACGGCCCAGACUCCUACGGGAAGCAGCAGUGGGGAAUAUUGGACAAUGGGCGCAAGCCUGAUCCAGCCAUGCCGCGUGAGUGAUGAAGGCCUUAGGGUUGUAAAGCUCUUUUGUCCGGGACGAUAAUGACGGUACCGGAAGAAUAAGCCCCGGCUAACUUCGUG